CACGUAGGGGGCGAGCGUUGUCCGGAUUUAUUGGGCGUAAAGAGCUCGUAGGUGGCUCGGUAAGUCGGGUGUGAAAUUUCGAGGCUCAACCUCGAGACGCCACCCGAUACUGCUGUGGCUAGAGUCCGGUAGGGGAGCGUGGAAUUCCUGGUGUAGCGGUGAAAUGCGCAGAUAUCAGGAGGAACACCAGCGGCGAAGGCGGCGCUCUGGGCCGGUACUGACGCUGAGACGCGAAAGCGUGGGGAGCGAACAGG
Molecule: ribosomal RNA, 254 nt
Filed under: uncultured bacterium
Lineage: Bacteria
Description: partial 16S ribosomal RNA
Rfam family: Bacterial small subunit ribosomal RNA
Source: RNAcentral